This 465-nucleotide ribosomal RNA is filed under the name uncultured bacterium. RNAcentral describes it as "partial 16S ribosomal RNA". It matches the Rfam family "Bacterial small subunit ribosomal RNA", at positions 28 to 507 of the family's 1533-position model. The record is from RNAcentral.
GACGAACGCUGGCGGCGUGCUUAACACAUGCAAGUCGAACGGUAAGGCCCCUUCGGGGGUACACGAGUGGCGAACGGGUGAGUAACACGUGAGCAACCUGCCCUUGACUCUGGAAUAACAGUUGGAAACAGCUGCUAAUACUGGAUAUUCAUCGUCUCCUUCCUGGGGGGUGGUGGAAAGCUCCGGCGGUCAGGGAUGGGCUCGCGGCCUAUCAGCUUGUUGGUGAGGUAAUGGCUCACCAAGGCUUCGACGGGUAGCCGGCCUGAGAGGGCGACCGGCCACACUGGGACUGAGAUACGGCCCAGACUCCUACGGGAGGCAGCAGUGGGGAAUAUUGCACAAUGGGCGCAAGCCUGAUGCAGCAACGCCGCGUGCGGGAUGACGGCCUUCGGGUUGUAAACCGCUUUCAGCAGGGACGAAGGGUGACUGACGGUACCUACAGAAGAAGGACCGGCUAACUACGUG